Molecule: long non-coding RNA, 1488 nt
Organism: Homo sapiens (human)
Lineage: Eukaryota; Metazoa; Chordata; Mammalia; Primates; Hominidae
Gene: CCDC144NL-AS1
Product: CCDC144NL antisense RNA 1
Source: Ensembl
GCAGUAUAUAAAUGAUGCUGAAGCGGAAACACGUUUUUUCAAGUUCCUGUAUUUUUAUGUGGAGUUGCUCACUGCCCAACGUAGAGGACUAGGAAUCAGGAGUCGGUGGCCGUAUGCUGGAGGCUGGAGCCGCGGGAGCGCGGCUCGCCUCGCUGCGGUUGUUGGCAGUGACGGAGAGAGAGCAGCGCGGCUGGAGCAGUGACACAAAUCACUAUGUAAUAUAGUUAGCCUUUGAACAACACGGAUUUGAACUGCAGGGGUCUACUUAUGAGCAGAUUUUCUCCCACCUCUACCACCUGAGACAGCGAAGACCAAUCUUCCUCUUCCUCCUUCUCCUUAGCCUGCUCAACUUGAAGACUAUGAUGAAGAGUUAUAUAAUGAUCUACUUGCAUUUAAUGAACAAUAGUUUCCCUUGCAAAGUUAUCAAAGUGCUCCCCAGAAGACAUUAGGUAUUUGCUUUCUAGUCUACAUACAAUGAAAAGGAAAAAACGUCAGUUCCUGAAGCUCUCUCAAAACAUCAACAGAUGGAAAGACGUGCCCAUGUCCUCCCCUCCCUCCACUCUGGGGGCUUGGAAAUGCUGCAGCAGGGAGCAGGCCCCAGGCUGGACCUGCCCUGUCCUCACGACGAGUGUGUGCAAAAGUGAACAAUAAAUCAUUUCAAAGAUGCAAGGAAGAAAAACCAAAACAUCAACAGAAUCUUCUUUCCCAUAAUCUUCAUGCACCUCCUGGUCCGGAUGAGUUUAUGUUCCCAUCUCCGAGCACAGGGAUUGAUUGUGAUGGCAUUUAUAGGACUGAGUGCCCCACACUCUGUGAUCCAGCAUGGAGUUAUGAUUUACAUCACCACAGGAAGAGUACAGAGGCUUCAACAGAAAAAAAGCAAAAACAACAGACCUUCAUUCAGCUUAGGAACAUAAUAAAUAGGACGAAGUUGAAUAAACGAAAUGGAGGGGAGUGAAGUAUUCCAGAUGGAAGAGGCAGUACGUGGCCAAGAGGAAACAGACCAUGUGCGCUGGAGAAAAAGGAUGGCCAGACUUGCAGAAACCUGGAAUUGGUGAUUGGCUUUAGAAGUGGAGAGACAAAAAAGGAGGCAUAGAAAGUGCCAACAUUUGGCUACACAGGGAAGAAAGACGUAAAAUAAUAAAAACAUUGGCAUCACCUGUAGACUCAAAUCCUGUGAGUGAAGGACCUGAGCAAUGAAGGAUGGAUUGAACUCGUGAUUAGCCUUCUUCAGCAUAUGUAAAAUGAUGUCUGCUUUUCUUCUCUAUUUGUCAUUUUACCGACUUUUUAUAUAUAGUAGUUUCCCCAUAUCCAUGGAGGAUGUAUCCCAAGACCCCCAGAGGAUGCUUGAAACCACAGAUAAUAACAAACUCUAUGUAUCCUAUGAUUUUUCCUGUACAUCCUUACCUAUCAUAAAGUGAGUGUAUAAACUAGGCACAGGAGAUUAAAAACAAUAACUCAUAAUAAAAUAGAACAAUUAGUACAACCUAA